CCUACGGGAGGCAGCAGUGGGGAAUAUUGGACAAUGGGCGGAAGCCUGAUCCAGCCAUGCCGCGUGUGUGAAGAAGGCCUUUUAGGUUGUAAAGCACUUUAAGCGAGGAGGAGGCUACUAGUAUUAAUACUACUGGAUAGUGGACGUUACUCGCAGAAUAAGCACCGGCUAACUCUGUGCCAGCAGCCGCGGUAAUACAGAGGGUGCGAGCGUUAAUCGGAUUUACUGGGCGUAAAGCGUGCGUAGGCGGCUGAUUAAGUCGGAUGUGAAAUCCCUGAGCUUAACUUAGGAAUUGCAUUCGAUACUGGUCAGCUAGAGUAUGGGANAGGAUGGUAGAAUUCCAGGUGUAGCGGUGAAAUGCGUAGAGAUCUGGAGGAAUACCGAUGGCGAAGGCAGCCAUCUGGCCUAAUACUGACGCUGAGGUACGAAAGCAUGGGGAGCAAACAGGAUUAGAUACCCUGGUAGUCCAUGCCGUUAAACGAUGUCUACUAGCCGUUGGGGUCUUUGAGACUUUAGUGGCGCAGCUAACGCGAUAAGUAGACCGCCUGGGGAGUACGGUUCGCAAGACUAAACCGUUAAAUGAAUUGACGGCUUGGAGGACGNGCGAGCGACACGAGGGAGGAGG
Molecule: ribosomal RNA, 625 nt
Filed under: uncultured bacterium
Lineage: Bacteria
Description: bacterial SSU rRNA
Rfam family: Bacterial small subunit ribosomal RNA
Source: RNAcentral